This 356-nucleotide ribosomal RNA is filed under the name unidentified. Its description in RNAcentral is "Laurypta leptura partial 12S ribosomal RNA". The record is from RNAcentral.
AAAAAAUUUAAUAUAAAUAUAUUAGAGUAGUAUUAGUUAUGAUCUUGAAACUUAAAAAAUUUGGCGGUAUUUUAUUCUAUUCAGAGGAACUUGUUUUAUAAUUGAUAUUCCUCAUUGUAUCUUACUUAAAUUUGUUUAGUUUGUAUAUCGUUGUCAUCAGAAUAUCUUCAAAGGAAAAAAAUUUUCUUAAUAAUUAAUUAUUUAAAAUGUCAGAUCAAGGUGCAGCUUAUAUUUAAGAAAAAAUGAGUUACAAUUAAAAUUAUUAAAAUGGAUAUUAAAUUUAAAUAUUUUAUUGAAGGUGGAUUUGAAAGUAAAUUUUUAGAGAUUGUAAAAUUGAUUUUAGUUCUAAAAUAUGC